UUUGACAGUGUCUUAGUUAAUUUCAUUUUAAUCCAUUAACACUUCUAUGCAUGGCUACCCGAAGCUCUACGGAGAUAAUAACAUUAAUUUUUUAAAUUAUUUAUUAGACAGUAAAUAAGUUAGAGUAAAAAAGUUUAUUACACCCUUCUUUAAAUAUAAGUAUAUAUUUAUAUUUCUUUUUCACUAAAAUAUAAGUAAAUGUAAUGUGUUGAAGUGCCUACUUUAUAGAAAUAAAAGUUAAUAGAAAGUGUUUUGUUGAAGUGCCUACUUGGCUACUAAAAGUUAAUAGAAAUAAAAGUAUCUGUAAGUGUGAUCUAUAUGACUAUAUACUGAUAUUACGAUUUAGUGUUUUGUUUAGCAUGUUUGCAUGAAGUUCUUUUUAGAGUUAUUUAUAUUUGGUACAAAUAUGUUUUUAGUUGAACGGUAAGUUCAAACUUCGACUAAUUAAAUUAUGUGUAAUCCAAGUGCAAGAAUUGAUUAAAUGUUCUUCCAAGAUGUAUCAUGAAUCAAUUCUUCAACCUAAAAAGAUUCUAGUUGUACUAUGUAACAUAGCCACACUGAUUCUAACUAUUUGGUUGUUGUAUCAGGCCAGGCCUACAAUAUACCAAAAAGUGAUGGUGAUGAUUGACAAAAUGGGUUACCAAGAUGAAAGACGGGACUCGUCUACUUCUCCCUAGAUUUGUUUGUAUAUCUUUCUCACAUCCUAUAUGUAUUUAAUUAUAUAAAUUUAUUUUUAGAAUUUGAUUUUGAUAAUUACUUAUCUCUGCAGUUUUAGAUUUCUACAAUUUCUUUAUAUGCAAUGGAGAUACCAAGCAUCUUACUAAUGGAAGCAACUCACAGUAUUCCAAUUGUAUGCAACUCACAAUGUUCCAAGGUCUGAUUUCAGAAGCAAAAAUAUGCAUGGAUUCUACUAAGGUCUGAUUUUCUAUUAGUCAAUAAGGGCCACAAAUCUACUAAGAAGCUAAAACCCUCAGAUGUUAGACGUUCAUUUGAGUCUCCGUAUUGCAGAUAAUGGAUCAGCAAGAAGGACAAAUUAGACUUUACUAUGAUACUUAUGUAUUGUUGGUAUAAUGAUACUUAUUAUUAUAAGAUUGGGAUUUGAUAUGUUUUUCGGUUUGUUGUACUACAUGACAAGAUUAUGGAACUCAUUUCAUGAUAAUGGAACUCACACUUUUUUGAUUUUA
This is a long non-coding RNA of Vicia villosa (hairy vetch), 1184 nucleotides long. RefSeq lists it as uncharacterized. Lineage: Eukaryota; Viridiplantae; Streptophyta; Magnoliopsida; Fabales; Fabaceae. The record is from RefSeq and is a predicted model, not a curated record. The transcript has 2 exons.